This 492-nucleotide ribosomal RNA is filed under the name uncultured bacterium. Its description in RNAcentral is "partial 16S ribosomal RNA". It matches the Rfam family "Bacterial small subunit ribosomal RNA", at positions 29 to 507 of the family's 1533-position model. The record is from RNAcentral.
AGUGAACGCUGGCGGUAGGCCUAACACAUGCAAGUCGAACGGCAGCACAGUAAGAGCUUGCUCUUACGGGUGGCGAGUGGCGGACGGGUGAGGAAUACAUCGGAAUCUACUUUUUCGUGGGGGAUAACGUAGGGAAACUUACUCUAAUACCGCAUACGACCUACGGGUGAAAGCAGGGGAUCUUCGGACCUUGCGCGAUUGAAUGAGCCGAUGUCGGAUUAGCUAGUUGGCGGGGUAAAGGCCCACCAAGGCGACGAUCCGUAGCUGGUCUGAGAGGAUGAUCAGCCACACUGGAAGUGAGACACGGUCCAGACUCCUACGGGAGGCAGCAGUGGGGAAUAUUGGACAGUGGGCGCAAGCCUGAUCCAGCCAUACCGCGUGGGUGAAGAAGGCCUUCGGGUUGUAAAGACCUUUUGUUGGGAAAGAAAAGCAGCAGGUUAAUACCCCGCUGUUCUGACGGUACCCAAAGAAUAAGCACCGGCUAACUUCGUG